GACGAACGCUGGCGGCGUGCUUAACACAUGCAAGUCGAGCGAUGAAGUUCCUUCGGGAACGGAUUAGCGGCGGACGGGUGAGUAACACGUGGGUAACCUGCCUCGUAGAGGGGAAUAGCCUUUCGAAAGGAAGAUUAAUGCCCCAUAAGACUGUAGUACCGCAUGGUAUAGCAAUUAAAGGAGUAAUCCGCUAUGAGAUGGACCCGCGUCGCAUUAGCUAGUUGGUGAGGUAACGGCUCACCAAGGCGACGAUGCGUAGCCGACCUGAGAGGGUGAUCGGCCACAUUGGGACUGAGACACGGCCCAGACUCCUACGGGAGGCAGCAGUGGGGAAUAUUGCACAAUGGGGGAAACCCUGAUGCAGCAACGCCGCGUGAGUGAUGACGGUCUUCGGAUUGUAAAACUCUGUCUUCAGGGACGAUAAUGACGGUACCUGAGGAGGAAGCCACGGCUAACUACGUGCCAGCAGCCGCCGUAA
Molecule: ribosomal RNA, 478 nt
Filed under: uncultured bacterium
Lineage: Bacteria
Description: partial 16S ribosomal RNA
Rfam family: Bacterial small subunit ribosomal RNA
Source: RNAcentral